Oryza nivara is the source of this 164-nucleotide non-coding RNA. The record is from Rfam. NCBI's taxonomy places the organism in Eukaryota, Viridiplantae, Streptophyta, Magnoliopsida, Poales, Poaceae.
UACAAUGUUUGACUCUUCGUCUUAUUUAAAAAAAUUAUGAUUAGUAUUUUUAUUGUUGUUAGAUGAUAAAACAUUAAUACUACUUUAUGCGUGACUACUUUUUUUAAUUUUUUUUAUAAUUUUUUCAAAUAGGACGAACGGCUAAACAUUGGAUAAAAAACCCA